UGGCUUUACCUGAAGACGGUGUGCUAACCGCUAGGAGGCAGCCGGCCACGGUAAGGUCAGCGACUGGGGUGAAGUCGUAACAAGGUAGCCGUAGGUGAACCUGCAGAAGGAUCA
RNAcentral lists this ribosomal RNA (114 nucleotides) under uncultured eukaryote. RNAcentral's name for it is "partial small subunit ribosomal RNA". It matches the Rfam family "Bacterial small subunit ribosomal RNA", at positions 1412 to 1525 of the family's 1533-position model. The record is from RNAcentral.